AAAAGGAGAGGAAAGUCCAUGCUCGCACCGCCUGGGAUGGCGGUAGUGAUUGCGGUGGGGGAAAAAAUAACCCCACGUGCGGUAGCGCGCAACGGCAGGCGAAGGACCCCCGUGGCCCAGAGCCCCUAAACGUACCACAGAGACGAGCUUGGUGGCGACAUCAAGAUGAAACGAGGCAAACCCCGCAAGCGAGAAACCCAAAUUUGGUAGGGGAAGCGGCCAAGGCGAACCGAAGCUAAGGCAGCCAGGGCAACCUGAGACAAAUUGCUGUCCUCGACAGAACAUGGCUUACAG
RNAcentral lists this RNase P RNA (294 nucleotides) under pig gut metagenome. RNAcentral describes it as "Bacterial RNase P class B". It matches the Rfam family "Bacterial RNase P class B". Rfam says of the family: Ribonuclease P (RNase P) is a ubiquitous endoribonuclease, found in archaea, bacteria and eukarya as well as chloroplasts and mitochondria. Its best characterised activity is the generation of mature 5'-ends of tRNAs by cleaving the 5'-leader elements of precursor-tRNAs. The record is from RNAcentral.